Molecule: long non-coding RNA, 2260 nt
Organism: Astatotilapia calliptera (eastern happy)
Lineage: Eukaryota; Metazoa; Chordata; Actinopteri; Cichliformes; Cichlidae
Source: Ensembl
AAUUACAGGCUGCUUUGCCGGCCCUGAAAGCCGAGGCUGACUGGACUCCUGCUCUCCCCCAUACGUGACACUGACCAAAUGCUGCAACAGCUGGACCCACAACAACGACCUGAGAAUGUCCACAGACCUGCAGGAAUGUGAUCUCAUGCAGCCGAGACGGAGAGCACUAAACCUAAGGCCCGUUUCACUACACGGGGGAAAAUUCCCAGACUGCGUCAGCUGACAGAGCUGUGACGAGACGCCCGCCAAGCCCGAAUGAAAAGUAAGGCCGAGCGAAAGAAUGCUGACCUUGAUAACUUUGCAUUCACACUGUGCAGGACAGUGAUGGACCAACACGGAUGAUCGGGUGGCGAAAAAGGGCGUGACCGAGACAAGAGGAGUAACUGAGGACAGAAGGCACCUCAGAAUGGACAAAAACACAGAAGAAGAUGCAGGUUUCACCUGCGGUGAACAUCGACACUGGAGAAAGGACUGCCCCAAUUGGGGUCAGAACCAGGACGGACUGAAUUUUGAGCAGCAGCAGCAAUGGUCGCAAACAAACUGAAAAAGGAGGGGGGGGCAGGACCCCAGGGCACGCUUCAGGCCGUGGUUUACCCAGAACACCAGAACAGGAAAGUGAUGAACACACACACACACACACACACACACACACACACACACGGGAAUGUUGAUUCACUGAGAAGUGAUGCACACACAUACACAUGCACACGCUUGUGCAAUAAAGAGUGAUCCACACGCACACACACAUACACGCUGAUGCAAUGAAGAAUGCUUUGCUUAUGCUGAUAUGCAAAAUGCUGCACACAAACAUCCCAAUGCAUAAUUUUUAUGAGGAGCCAUUGAUUUCCAUUGAUUACCAUUGAUUACUUAGAAUGUGUUAUAUGUCACCUAGAAGGCAUUUAUGUAGAUUUUAGGAAUAAGCUCUAAAACGGUUUGGUUAUGAAAACAAUGUCUGUGCGUGAUGUCUGUUUAUGGCUCAAGGCCUUGACUGAAUUCUUUGCUGUGCUUCACACAGCCCUGAUGAGGAACAGUGGCACAGAGUGAAAAUGAUGAAUUAAUAGUGUAAGUUUUAGGUCGGAGUACGGCAUUUUCUGUGAUUGAGUUUUAAUUCAAGGAGGAACAAAAGGUGUUACGGCACCUGAGGUUCUCAUUCCCACACAAUAUUGUCCCGGCAGGAAGCAAAAUGUUCCUGUGAAUUUCUGGUUGAUUGUUUGGUUUUGUUUAGCGCUAGCUUGAUUUUAUCAGUGAGCUUUGGCUUGUGUUCUUUCUCGUAAGCGAGAGAGGGAUAGUUUUAUGCUUGGACAUGUCUGCAACGGGCCCUAGUUUGUGUUAUUUUAGUAGUAUUUUGUUGGUUAUGUCUGUUUUCAUUUUUGUUACAGUGCACUGGAGAAAAAACAUCUGAGAGGUGUGAUCCACCGGUGGUGAUAUGUUGAUAUUUUGUGAGUUCAUGAUUUAACAAUCAGCUCUUUAAACCAGGCCUGAAAGAUUGAAAUUUAAAGCGCUAUAAAAUAUUAUUACUGUAAACAGUUGCAAAGUGUGCUUCUCCAUGAUUGUAAUUGGCUUGGGAGAAAUUCACUUAUAGGAAACACUGAGAAGUUCUGAGUCUAAAAGGAUUGCACCGAGUCAAUCCGGCCCAAAAAAACAACAAGGAAUUGUUUUCCUUUAAAAUGAUGACGUCAUCUUGCUGGUGAUGGAUGCUCGAAUAGGUUGCGCGGGAGACUCCAUUAUCAGCAACAUCUGGUAUGAAUGUGUAUGGAGGUAUGCAUGCGAAUGAACUGUGAUGGACUGACGAUUAAAAGUUUUAACUGACUUGAUACUGAGACAAUGACUGCACCCACUUUAGGAUUAGUAAAUGCCAAUAAACAAUUCAUAAACAAUUCACCCAGCCGACAAGAGAAGGGUGGAUGCUUCGCUUUGUUUUGUUUUGUUUUUUCAGGAGCAGGAGGAUAAGAGAGACUGGAGGAGGAGACUCUAGCUUCACAUAAAGAAAGGAACAGACACCAGACGAGGUCACAGAGAUGCGAGGAUCCUCCGUAGCAGAGUCAGACACAGUGACAGCCGAGACAGCAACUGGGGUCAAGUGUCAUGACGUUUGGGCUCCUGGAGAAGAUGGAUCCCACAAACACAGCAAUAACCAUGAAGGGGUUGGCGAAAACCAGGAACACCAGACCAACGAGGUUCGAGAGGCUCUUGGCAAAAAGGGGGACACGGCGGUGACCCCAAAACACACAGAUCCUUGUUUGAAAUCGCAAUAAUCCCC